UUUUAUUGGCUGACUUGAUAGGAUAAUUUUGAGCUUUUAAGGAUCUUUGUACAUGUUGGAAGGAGACAGUUCAUGGCGAAAUCAGAUGAAUUUUACACCUUGUCGAGGGCAGCGAACUAAAGUAGUUACGAGUAGGAGACGGGUAGCAGUGAACUCCACCACACUAACACCAACAAGGAACACAGACUCGUGCAGAAUGUUGAUCUAAAAUUGGAUUCGAG
RNAcentral lists this unclassified non-coding RNA (221 nucleotides) under Hevea brasiliensis (rubber tree). Lineage: Eukaryota; Viridiplantae; Streptophyta; Magnoliopsida; Malpighiales; Euphorbiaceae. The record is from RNAcentral.